This 4123-nucleotide long non-coding RNA is filed under the name Brassica napus (rape). RNAcentral describes it as "long non-coding RNA (BNAP_LNC008084)". The record is from RNAcentral. Lineage: Eukaryota; Viridiplantae; Streptophyta; Magnoliopsida; Brassicales; Brassicaceae.
UUUAAAAGAGUUUCAAUGAUUUGUAUAGAUUUUGUUUCAGUGAUUACAUAAUAGACUUUUUUCUUACCUUCCUUCGAUGGGCUUGGAGAAAGACCAUCUAACAAAUCGAACAUACCACCAGCAGAGGCAGUCGUUGCUAUGUGAGGUGGAGCUGGUGAAGAAAGUGUGUCUAGCGCAUUAGAAGGAUUGUUGUUAAUGCCAGCUGUUGAUAACAAAUCAAUUGAUGAUGUGUUGUUUUGUGCCGGAGAAGGUGUCCCAAUUGAUAAAAUAUCCAUCAACAGAUCUGCACCGGCUUUUGGACCCGGGGUUGCACCUGAAACAUUGCAAUGCCAUAGAGGAAAAGAUUGCUCAUUCGAGACAAUAUCAUAGCUGAGUACACCAUAAAAUGAAAAAAAAACAGUUGUAGAGACGCCAAAGAACUAACCAGAUUGUGCUGACGAUGAUCCUAAGUCAACACCCAGAAGAUCCUGAAGGAAAUCUGCACCAGAUGAACUAGGUGCAGCCAUGAUAUCGUCAGAACCCAGGUCCAGUAAAUCCACUAGUGGAGCUGCAGCAACACCAUUUGGAAUACUAACUGAAGGUUUGGCCAUUGUUGAAACUGACGCAGGCAAAGAGCCAGCCCUCCUCACAUUGAAGGUAGCCUCAUCUAGCACCGGCAUUCUCUCAACCAGAGAAGACCUAUAUGCAUAGAGACCUCGUUUUCAUGAGAUUUGAGGGGGUAAGUGAUUAAUCAUUUAACUAAGCCUUAACCAACACAACUACUAUAUUUUUCCCUUGCAUGUUUUAAGCUAAUGAUGGAAGGCGCUCUCUCUAGUUGUGCCAAAUCUCUUUAUCAAUCAUUCCUCCUACGUUUUGACUGUGAAUUCGAUUUUAAAAUUUUAUUGAGCUCCAUGGAAAAAUAUAAUCAUAAAUUGAGGGGGUUUAUGGUUAAAUCUGAGAGAGAGUAGCUUAAUGGUGUCUCUGUUCUUCAUCACAUACCAGAAAAAAAAAAGAAAUGUCUCAAAUGAUUCAUCAAAUCCACCUCAAAAACGAAGAUUCGAUCCAAAUCUCACCUGCUCCUGCUGCUCCUCCCCUCACCGCGAAUCACUCAUCUAAUCGAAUAAGCCCAAUCCUUCUCUUCAUCAUCGUUCUCCUCUCCGUCGUCUUCUUCAUCUGCAGCAUCCUACAUUUAACGGUCAAAUGUUACUUAAAGAAGAAAAGAUCGAGACUUUCUUCCUCCGCGGCGGAUUCCGAUCGAAACCCAGAACUCUCCGACUCCUCCGACACUUACCAGAGACAGCUCCAGCAGCUGUUCCAUCUCCACGACUCUGGUCUCGAUCAAGCCCUGAUCGAUGCCCUUCCCGUUUUCCUCUACAAAGAGAUCAAAGGCUCCAAAGAGCCGUUCGAUUGCGCGGUGUGUCUCUGCGAAUUCUCCGAAGACGAUAAGCUCAGGCUGCUUCCGAUUUGCAGCCACGCUUUCCACAUCGAUUGUAUCGACACGUGGCUGCUCUCGAACUCGACGUGUCCGCUCUGCAGAGGAACCCUUUAUCCGUUAGGGCACCAAUUCGAAAACCCGGAUUUCAAUUUCGGGUUUUUCGCCGGAGAAGAUGGAGAGAGGGCUUCUCCGGGGGAGAAACCGGCGGAGAGUGAUAUCAUGAGUGGGAAGAGAGUGUUCUCAGUGAGGCUUGGGAAGUUCAGGAGCAGUAAUAUUAAUGAAGGUGAAGGAGGAGGAGGAGGAGGAGGAGAGACAAGUGGGUGUGUGAGUGUGAACAGUAGUCUUGACAACAGGAGAUGUUUCUCAAUGGGGUCUUAUCAGUACAUAGUGGCUGAAUCAGAUCUGGUGGUUGCUUUGUGUCCUAAUAAUGAAGGUUCGAAGAAUGUGAAAGGAGAGAGUGAGAGUAAUGUUGAAGGGAAGAAGCUUAACAUGAGAAGCAAAGGUGAGAGCUUUUCUGUGUCAAAGAUUUGGCAAUGGUCUAAUAAAAGAUCAAAGUUUGCAAACCAAGCAGAAACCAAUCUAGUGGGUUCUUCUUCUGCAUCUUCCUCCUCUUAUGCUUGUUCCGGUAGUACAGUUGGUGCUGGAUUAUCAUUGAAUGGAAGGAGAUUUCAGGGGCCAUGAUAAGAGAUAAUGGGGUUAGGUACAGAUCAAGGUGUAGCUAAUUUUCUGCUGUUGAUUUAAUUAAAUCAUUGAUUUUGAGUUUUUUUUUUCUUUCUGAAAUUCAUUUUGUUAACACUAUAUACUGUAGUGGUGGUCUUUUUGUGUCUUUGUAGCUGAAUCUCUUUGUGUUUGUUAAGAGGAGAAUAAGCUUUGUUCUUUGAUUAAGUUUUAUGUGAUGCUUAUUUUAAUCCCCAACAAGUUCUAAUUAAAUUCUGUUCCGAGAUGGAACCUCAAAGAUUUGCACAAACUUUGAUGAUUUUGUUAGCUGUAUUUUGUCUUUAACGUCCAAACUUUUCAAACAAAAAGAAUAUCAUUUUUAUGGCAAAUCACAUAAAAAUGAAAUUGAAAUAAAAGAAGAGAAGUCAAAUUUUAUAUCUUCGGUGGGGUUUGAUACUUGUAAAGAGCAUCCAAAAAUGGGAUGGAAUCAUUAUUGGUAGGUAUAAAUAAUGAUGACCCUUAUUUGUUAUUAUGCUCCAAAAGAGCAUUCAAGAAAGAACACUCAUGAAGGUAUCAAUGAUCUCUCAAGUCACAGUUUGUCUUCAAAAUCAUAUCCGAGCACGUGACAUAAUUACAUUGGCCAGUAAAUUAGCAAAUAAAAUACAAAAUCUUUUUGUGCAAAGACGAAGCUGUAACUAGAAAUACAUCAUGUGGGCAAUCAAAUCUCUUUAAAAGUUUUAUACACGAGACAAACUUGUGUGCUUCCUCCAUCACUUUCUGACUCAAAAACAUAUGAAAUUUUGUUCAAAAAGAAACAUGAAGAAUCUCAAAUCCCAAACAAAGCCAAAGUUUCAGGAAACGGAUGAAAAAAGUAGGAAGAUAAAAGCUGAUUUUGUUGCGUCAGCUGCUCGGGUAAGACAUAUCUUUCUUUCUUUUUUUUUUUUUGGAAUAGGGAUGAUAAUAAAUACUCAAAGUUCCUUAUGCUGAAAAUACAAUCAGCCUCACAACCCACGAGGGAAGUUGUUGAUCUGUCCUUCCUCCAAUACAUCUUUUCCGUUCAAUUUGUACCCAAUCCUCAUGCGCAUCACAAGAGAUUUCUGCCAUAUAAACAUUAAAGUAAUUUAGUGUUAAGUCACUUAAUCCAGAGGUCAACCAAUCUUUAUAUGAGCAUAUACUGAGUUCUUGAUCAUAGACAAAAAAAAGGAAGCUGAACAGAGAAAGUGUUUAUACCUUGCCGUGCUGGCUGUUAGUGACUCUCAGAUUCUGCGUGAUGUUACCGCUUGCCGGGAGUGUGUUACUGCUUGCUGGAUCCAAGUGCAGCUGGAGGAACUGGAGAUUAAAAGAACGAAAGACAAUGUUAAAGAAAAUUUUGAAAACUGGAUGAUAAGGGAGAGAAAAAAGAAAACUGAAAUGACCUUUGGAACAGCAGCCUGGAAGAUAAAAUCUGUGAAAGUAUUAGGAGAUAGAUUUAUAAAAGUGGCCUGGACAUUUGUUUCUUGUGGGUUCCCUGAUGGCUUUGAGAAUGUGAACUCAAUCUUCAAGGUGCUGCUCUCGUAUGCAACAAUAGGUGGAUAUGCUGGACCAUUGGUUGCUGCAAUCAAGGAGGAAAGCAAAGUUAUUCAUCUUUUAAAAGAGUUUCAAUGAUUUGUAUAGAUUUUGUUUCAGUGAUUACAUAAUAGACUUUUUUCUUACCUUCCUUCGAUGGGCUUGGAGAAAGACCAUCUAACAAAUCGAACAUACCACCAGCAGAGGCAGUCGUUGCUAUGUGAGGUGGAGCUGGUGAAGAAAGUGUGUCUAGCGCAUUAGAAGGAUUGUUGUUAAUGCCAGCUGUUGAUAACAAAUCAAUUGAUGAUGUGUUGUUUUGUGCCGGAGAAGGUGUCCCAAUUGAUAAAAUAUCCAUCAACAGAUCUGCACCGGCUUUUGGACCCGGGGUUGCACCUGAAACAUUGCAAUGCCAUAGAGGAAAAGAUUGCUCAUUCGAGACAAUAUCAUAGCUGAGUACACCAUAAAAUGAAAAAAAAACAGUUGUAGAGACGCCAAAGAACUAACCAG